AAAAUUUGUUAUUAAUUUGAUUUAUAUGUAAAUUUUUGUAAGAAUUUUUAUUAAUUUUAAAAAUUAAUAAAAUUAUUUUAAUCGCAGUAAUUAAUUUUAUUAAUUAAAGAAAUUUAGAAAUAGCAAUAUUAAAGAGUAUAGAUUAAAUUGGUGCCAGCAGUCGCGGUUAUACCAAUUAUACAAAUAAAUUUUUUUAGUAAAAGUUAAAUUGAUUAAAUUUAAAUAAAAUUAAAUUUAUUAAGUGAAAUUUUAAAUUUAAAAUUUUUAUUAUAAAAAUAAUUGAAGCUUAAAAAUUUUAGUUAA
RNAcentral lists this ribosomal RNA (303 nucleotides) under Scaptomyza crassifemur. RNAcentral describes it as "partial 12S ribosomal RNA". Lineage: Eukaryota; Metazoa; Arthropoda; Insecta; Diptera; Drosophilidae. The record is from RNAcentral.